Molecule: RNase MRP RNA, 146 nt
Filed under: Macaca mulatta (Rhesus monkey)
Lineage: Eukaryota; Metazoa; Chordata; Mammalia; Primates; Cercopithecidae
Description: mitochondrial RNA processing endoribonuclease RNA component
Rfam family: RNase MRP
About the family: RNase MRP is an enzymatically active ribonucleoprotein with two distinct roles in eukaryotes. In mitochondria it plays a direct role in the initiation of mitochondrial DNA replication.
Source: RNAcentral
AUUCCCCCUUCCCACUGUAAAGUCCGCCAAGAAGCGUGGCCCGCUGAGCGGCGUGGUGCGGGGUAGUUGUCCGUCAGCUCUUCUAGUUACGCAGGCAGUGCGUCUUGGCGCACUAACCACACGGGGCUCAUUCUCAGCGCGUCUGG